Molecule: ribosomal RNA, 492 nt
Filed under: uncultured bacterium
Lineage: Bacteria
Description: partial 16S ribosomal RNA
Rfam family: Bacterial small subunit ribosomal RNA
Source: RNAcentral
AGUGAACGCUGGCGGUAGGCCUAACACAUGCAAGUCGAACGGCAGCACAGUAAGAGCUUGCUCUUACGGGUGGCGAGUGGCGGACGGGUGAGGAAUACAUCGGAAUCUACUUUUUCGUGGGGGAUAACGUAGGGAAACUUACGCUAAUACCGCAUACGACCUACGGGUGAAAGCAGGGGAUCUUCGGACCUUGCGCGAUUGAAUGAGCCGAUGUCGGAUUAGCUAGUUGGCGGGGUAAAGGCCCACCAAGGCGACGAUCCGUAGCUGGUCUGAGAGGAUGAGCAGCCACACUGGAACUGAGACACGGUCCAGACUCCUACGGGAGGCAGCAGUGGGGAAUAUUGGACAAUGGGCGCAAGCCUGAUCCAGCCAUACCGCGUGGGUGAAGAAGGCCUUCGGGUUGUAAAGCCCUGUUGUUGGGAAAGAAAAGCAGCAGGUUAAUACCCCGCUGUUCUGACGGUACCCAAAGAAUAAGCACCGGCUAACUUCGUG